Molecule: ribosomal RNA, 476 nt
Filed under: uncultured bacterium
Lineage: Bacteria
Description: partial 16S ribosomal RNA
Rfam family: Bacterial small subunit ribosomal RNA
Source: RNAcentral
GACGAACGCUGGCGGCGUGCUUAACACAUGCAAGUCGAGCGGUAAGGCUCCUUCGGGAGUACACGAGCGGCGAACGGGUGAGUAACACGUGAGCAAUCUGCCCUUCACACGGGGAUAACCCUCGGAAACGAGAGCUAAUACCCGAUACGACCACUUCAGGCAUCUGAUGGUGGUGGAAAGUUCCGGCGGUGAAGGAUGAGCUCGCGGCCUAUCAGCUUGUUGGUGGGGUAACGGCCCACCAAGGCAACGACGGGUAGCCGACCUGAGAGGGUGACCGGCCACAAUGGAGCUGAGACACGGUCCAGACUCCUACGGGAGGCAGCAGUGGGGAAUAUUGCACAAUGGGCGAAAGCCUGAUGCAGCAACGCCGCGUGAGUGAUGACGGCCUUCGGGUUGUAAAGCUCUGUCUUUUGGGACGAUAAUGACGGUACCAAAGGAGGAAGCCACGGCUAACUACGUGCCAGCCGCCGCAGUAA